RNAcentral lists this ribosomal RNA (593 nucleotides) under Actinomycetales bacterium A235. RNAcentral describes it as "bacterial SSU rRNA". It matches the Rfam family "Bacterial small subunit ribosomal RNA", at positions 17 to 632 of the family's 1533-position model. The record is from RNAcentral. Lineage: Bacteria; Bacillati; Actinomycetota; Actinomycetes; Actinomycetales.
UCCUGGCUCAGGACGAACGCUGGCGGCGUGCUUAACACAUGCAAGUCGAGCGGAAAGGCCCUUCGGGGUACUCGAGCGGCGAACGGGUGAGUAACACGUGAGCAACCUGCCCCCGACUCUGGGAUAAGCCCGGGAAACUGGGUCUAAUACCGGAUACGACACACCACCGCAUGGUGGAGUGUGGAAAGUUUUUCGGUCGGGGAUGGGCUCGCGGCCUAUCAGCUUGUUGGUGGGGUAGUGGCCCACCAAGGCGACGACGGGUAGCCGGCCUGAGAGGGCGACCGGCCACACUGGGACUGAGACACGGCCCAGACUCCUACGGGAGGCAGCAGUGGGGAAUAUUGCACAAUGGGGGAAACCCUGAUGCAGCGACGCCGCGUGCGGGAUGACGGCCUUCGGGUUGUAAACCGCUUUCAGCAGGGACGAAAACAGACGGUACCUGCAGAAGAAGCGCCGGCUAACUACGUGCCAGCAGCCGCGGUAAUACGUAGGGCGCAAGCGUUGUCCGGAAUUAUUGGGCGUAAAGAGCUCGUAGGCGGUCUGUCGCGUCGGAUGUGAAAGCUCGAGGCUUAACCUCGGGUCUGCAUCCGAUA